RNAcentral lists this ribosomal RNA (327 nucleotides) under uncultured eukaryote. RNAcentral describes it as "partial 18S ribosomal RNA". It matches the Rfam family "Eukaryotic small subunit ribosomal RNA", at positions 1470 to 1796 of the family's 1831-position model. The record is from RNAcentral.
CCCUUAGUUGUUCUGGGCCGCACGCGCGCUACACUGACGAAUGCAACGAGCUUAUAACCUUGGCCGAAAGGUCUGGGUAAUCUCCAAAUUUCGUCGUGAUGGGGAUAGAUUAUUGCAAUUAUUAAUCUUCAACGAGGAAUGCCUAGUAAGCGCAAGUCAUCAGCUUGCGUUGAUUACGUCCCUGCCCUUUGUACACACCGCCCGUCGCUCCUACCGAUUGAAUGGUCCGGUGAAGCGUUCGGACCGUGGCCUUUGGACGGUUCGCCGUCUGUUGGCUGCGGGAAGUUCGUUAAACCUUAUCAUUUAGAGGAAGGAGAAGUCGUAACA